UACGGAGGAGGCAAGCGUUAUCCGGAAUUAUUGGGCGUAAAGCGUCCGCAGGUGGCACUUCAAGUCUGUCGUCAAAGACUGGGGCUUAACCCUGGAAAGGCGGUGGAAACUGAAGCGCUAGAGUGUGGUAGGGGUAGUGGAAUUCCCGGUGUAGUGGUGAAAUGCGUAGAUAUCGGGAGGAACACCAGUGGCGAAGGCGACUACCUGGCCUGUUUCUUGACGCUGAGGCGCGAAAGCUAGGGGAGCGAACGGG
This 253-nucleotide ribosomal RNA is filed under the name uncultured bacterium. RNAcentral's name for it is "partial 16S ribosomal RNA". It matches the Rfam family "Bacterial small subunit ribosomal RNA", at positions 524 to 776 of the family's 1533-position model. The record is from RNAcentral.